This 304-nucleotide long non-coding RNA is filed under the name Pan troglodytes (chimpanzee). Its description in RNAcentral is "long non-coding RNA NONPTRT004308". The record is from RNAcentral. Lineage: Eukaryota; Metazoa; Chordata; Mammalia; Primates; Hominidae.
AAUUAUAUUUGAGCAGGAGAUAUUCAUUUAUUGCUUAAAUGGUAAAGAAACAGAACAUUUAAUGUUGCUUCUGAGCUUGGUUUUCUAUCUGAUGUAUUGUGCAGGUUUUGAACAAUUUACUUAAGAGCAUUUUCUCUAAGAACUUGAAAUUUGGAGGGUGAAAUACCUUAGAGAGUUGAAAACAAAACUGCUUUGUUAGAAGUUUACAUCUUAUGUAGGUUUUAUCCCUCUAGAUUAUAUUUUCCACUGUUUGUGUUAUCUGUCUUUUAACCCUUAGAAGAUACAUCGCUGUUAUGUUAAAGAC